This 402-nucleotide small nuclear RNA is filed under the name Mustela putorius furo (domestic ferret). RNAcentral describes it as "7SK RNA". It matches the Rfam family "7SK RNA". Rfam says of the family: 7SK was discovered as an abundant small nuclear RNA in the mid-70s but a possible function has only recently been suggested. Two independent studies have found that 7SK RNA binds the CDK9/cyclin T complex (known as elongation factor P-TEFb). Lineage: Eukaryota; Metazoa; Chordata; Mammalia; Carnivora; Mustelidae. The record is from Rfam by way of RNAcentral.
GGAUGUGAGGGCAAUCUGGCUGGGUCGUCUGUCACCUCAUUGAUUGCCAGGAUUAACUCUGCUGAUCUGGCUGGCUAGGCGGGUAUCUCUAUCCUCCCCCACCAUGCCAUCCGUGUCCCUCCCGAAGGCGCAAACUAUACAGAGAGAUUCCUUUCUCUGUAUAAUUUCCUCUAUAUUUUAUACAUUUUAUUGUGCUCCAUGAGUGGAGGAAGAGGAGGAGGAAGAGGAGGACCUUCCCUGAUAGAGGAGGACCGUUCUUCCCUCAGGAGUAGCCACACUCCCCUGCUAGAACCUCCAAACAAGCUCUCAAGGUCCAUUUGUAGGAGAACGUAGGACAGUCAGGCUUCUAAGACUCCAGAUACAUCCCAAUGAGGUGCUGCAUGUGGCAGUCUGCCUUUCUCU